This 499-nucleotide ribosomal RNA is filed under the name uncultured crenarchaeote. RNAcentral's name for it is "bacterial SSU rRNA". It matches the Rfam family "Archaeal small subunit ribosomal RNA", at positions 1 to 480 of the family's 1478-position model. Lineage: Archaea; Thermoproteati; Thermoproteota. The record is from RNAcentral.
UUCCGGUUGAUCCCGCCGGACCCGACCGCUAUCGGGAUGAUACUAAGCCAUGGAAGUUGAACGUUCCCAGCCACGUGGGGACGUAGCGUACGGCUCAGUAGCACAUGGCUAAUCUACCCUUAGGAGGAGGAUAGCCCCGGGAAACUGGGGGUAAACCUUCAUAGACGAACAACCCUGGAACGGGUGUUCAUCCAAAAGGUGUGGAAGCAUGCUUUUACACCGCCUAAGGAUGAGGCUGUGUUCCAUCAGGUAGUUGGCGAGGUAACGGCUCGCCAAGCCGAUAACGGAUGCGGGCAGUGAGAGCUGAAGCCCGGAGAUGGGCACUGAGACAAGGGCCCAGGCCCUACGGGGCGCACCAGGCGAGAAACCUCAGCAAUGCGGGAAACCGUGACUGGGCCAUCCCGAGUGCCAGCCGCUAAGGUUGGCUUUUGCCCAGAGCAGUAAUCUGGGAGAAUAAGCGGGGGGCAAGACUGGUGUCAGCCGCCGCGGUAAAACCAGC